GAUCAAGUGGUGAGCUAUUAACUUGCUCCAAUGCCAUGAUUGGAGUUAGUUAUUCUCCUAUGAUUCCUAAGUUUUAAGCCUCUGAUGAUC
Zea mays is the source of this 90-nucleotide non-coding RNA. Lineage: Eukaryota; Viridiplantae; Streptophyta; Magnoliopsida; Poales; Poaceae. The record is from Rfam.